This 497-nucleotide ribosomal RNA is filed under the name uncultured bacterium. Its description in RNAcentral is "partial 16S ribosomal RNA". It matches the Rfam family "Bacterial small subunit ribosomal RNA", at positions 28 to 507 of the family's 1533-position model. The record is from RNAcentral.
GAUGAACGCUGGCGGCGUGCCUAAUACAUGCAAGUCGAACGGACAGACGAGGAGCUUGUUCCUCUGCCGUUAGCGGCGGACGGGUGAGUAACGCGUGCAUAACCUCCCUAUAAGACUGGGAUAACUUCGUGAAACCGGAGCUAAUACCCGAUCAUACAUUGUACCUCCUGGUUCAAUAGUGCAACACGGUUUUCGCGUCUCUUAUAGACGGAUCCGCGGCGCAUUAGCUAGUUGGUAAGGUAACGGCUUACCAAGGCAACGAUGCGUAGCCGACCUGAGAGGCUGAUCGGCCACACUGGAACUGAGACACGGUCCAGACUCCUACGGGAGGCAGCAGUAGGGAAUCUUCCGCAAUGGGCGAAAGCCUGACGCAGCAACGCCGCGUGGGUGACGAAGGUCUUCGGAUCGGAAAACCCUGUUAUUAGGAAAGAACAAAAGUGGAGGUAGCUACGGCUGUGUUGACGGUACCUAAUCAGAAAGCCACGGCUAACUUCGUG